Molecule: ribosomal RNA, 354 nt
Filed under: Triticum aestivum (bread wheat)
Lineage: Eukaryota; Viridiplantae; Streptophyta; Magnoliopsida; Poales; Poaceae
Description: partial small subunit ribosomal RNA
Source: RNAcentral
AUGGAUAGAGCGAAUAUAAAUUUCCUAUGCUGGAACGUUCGAGGGCUCAAUUCCGGAGCCCGUCGUGAUGCUGUUAGGAGCAUGGUUGUAGAUUCUCAUGCCACCAUUGUAGGUUUCCAAGAGACUAAAAUUGAACAAUUUUCUUCUGCACUUUUAAUGCAAUGCCUAGGACCCAAAUUUGAUGGGUACGCUUAUUUGCCUGCUAUGGGAACAAGGGGUGGUUUGCUGGUCGCGUGGGACUCGGCGUUGAUCCAGGGUGAUUCGAUUAAAAUCGGUGAGUUCUCUGUCACCGUACGGUUUCACUGGGAUUCUCUUGAUCCGUUUUCGACCACUGUUGUAUAUAUUUUUUUUUGA